CUAGAAAGGGUAUGUUACCAGGUAACGUUGGAUGUUCUGGCAGUGCCUGCAAAGACCAAGAAACCAUGUAAAAUCUGUGAUAUGGUAGUCUGCAACUCAGGUGAAUAGUUGCUUGCUCUGUCACAGGUGACGUCUGCAGAGUACUCUGCUGAUUUGGAUGCUUGGCUCUGUCUGGAUAUUGGUGAAAUGGGAUUGUUCAAGACACAGGAUGAGGAACAGUGGCUGUAUUACUUCAUGAUUUGGAAGGGGACUUCAGGGUCUGCAUAGAUCACCAUUUCACUAUUACAAGCUACAUAGAUAAAAUUGCUUUUCCUGGGCGAAAAGAGGCGGUUGCUCUGGGAAAACUGGUUGCUGCAAGUAGUUGAUUUAGCAUUGCAGGCGUGCCUGGGUUUUCAAAUGCCGAGGAGCACCAGGAAUAAAAUUAUCACUAUGCUGGGCUGAUGUGGUGUAUAUAAUCCACUGUGAAUGUAUUUAUUUCUAUUUUAACCGUGGCUAGUCAGCAUUUCUAAACUGUAGCUAGCCUCCAGCCUGGAUACAAACAAAUCCCUCAAACUGAGCAGAAUUGGAGCGGGCUAACAGUGCUUAGAUGUAAUUUCUCAGCAAUCCCAAGUCACUGCAAUGUAUUUCUGUAUUGGCAGGAGCAAUGGAAAUGCUACUGAUGGUCAGAUAGCAACAGCAACUGUGCUGAUUAGCUCUACAUUGAACCGGGCAGUGCUGAAUCAGUACGAAAAGAAACCAGGGUUGCUUGUACCUGCAGAACAAGUUGUUGCCAUAAACAGUCAAAUGGCAGAAGCUUUAGUACAGCAUCAGGAUUUAAGAAAAAUCCUACUGUAGACAAGAAUGUAGCUGGCUGAGUGAACCAGCAGGACAGUAUGCGUAUGGAGAUUGUACUGCAGGAGAUAAAGCGUAAGCCCUGGUCUCCUUGGAAAAGCUAGUGUACAGGAAGCCAAAGCAUGAAAUUAUAGUAUACCAGCCAGUUUAUAGUGGAAAAUGUGUGCUGCUUCACUUUCAAUCCUUUUUUUUUUUUUUCCACAGGGCUGUUGCAAUGAGAAGUAAAACAGCUGCUGUAAAGCCUAGGAAGUGACAUGAUUCCUGUGAACAGUUGUAAAAAAAAUUCAGAGAUAUUUAUGAAUGGAAAGCAUUAUAUACAUAAAAUACAUUAUAAACAGGAUUGUGUGUUUGAGCUAUCAUCAAGGCAUCUUCCAUUUAAGGUAUUGCAUAAAGUUACAUGAAACCAUUAAAUUAAAUUUUCCUCUGUCUUCUUUCUGAGAUUUUUAUCAUUUACAUAAUGAGAAGACAAAAUCCUAUUUGAAGAGUUUCAAGUUCAGCCCAGCAUUCCUGUAGCCCACUGAAGUCAGUGGCAGAGUUAGAUUUAACUCCAUACACGUACUUGAUAAGAAAUAAUAGGGUGAGAAAAAUGAGAAAACAGGGAACAAAAAGUGUUCUACUUGCAGUAAGAAAUGUUUGGGUUUGUUGGGUUUUUUUUUUUUUACUUUUUUCCUUCCUGAACAAUGUUCUUUUCUUUUUUAAGGUGCUUAAGAUAACUAAGCUACAGUAAGCCAUUAUUGUGAUUGUUUGUUCAGCACUCAAAACGUAAUGUACAUUUUACAGAACAAAUAAAUGCCCUUCCCCGUAGAGAUUGCAAGCUAAAUUUUUUCACAUGUGAGAGCAACAACUGGAAGAGACAUCCAUGGAGAAGAAAUAGAUACACGAGGAGACCUUUGCAAUCUUCUCCAUUCCUUGAGACAUCGAGAAAUGCGGUGCCCAUGUGGUUACGUGCCACAAGGCGGUUGCGUCUCUGCAGCUUCUCUCAUUAAUCAUGUUGGUAUACAUCUACCCCUGGGGGGUCUGAUGGUGUGAACAGCUCCUGGAAACCAGAAGCACAUGGGACAAGGGCCAGGUCCCAGUUAGAGGUUAGCAGUCAAUGUUAGCCUAAUAUUAGAAUCUUGCUGGAUUCAUCCUAAGAUGAAUACUGAAUGCUUUCCUGGAAAAUGCUUUUUAUCCCGGGAGUGCUGUUCUCAAUGUAGAGGUAUUGAGGAGAAAUUUAACGGCUGGUAUAUGCAUUAUCAGAUGAUCUCUCCUGGCCUUAUCCCAUAUAAUUUAAAAUGCAGUCAGUUAAAACAAAGUUCAGAGCUGCUGCAGGUGCCACAAAAGCUUUCUGAUAGUUUUGAUUUUUAAUCACAGAUCUCUCAAGUAUUUUCUACCAGACUGCUGUGUUGUGAAAGAGGGUAAGAAAUUGGCCAACCACAAGAAGGCAAAGGGAUGAAGGUAGUCUGUAUCUAAAAUUGUCAUAUGGACAAUGUAAAUAAUCUCAUAUCCCCUGUGUCCAGAAAUUUCGCUAAUUUCUCUAUGGUAUACAGCAUUAUUUGUAAAAAUGGUGAAGAUGCUUAGGUAGAAGUUAUACAUUUCUUUUAAGUUGAGGGUAGCUCUCCAAUCAGCAGUCCUAACUAGGCUAUUAGUUACAACAAUGUGUAAUCGUUUCAAGGCUCUUUGAGCAAGAUGUAGUGGGUGUUUGAUCUUGUAAUUAACCUGCUGCCAUUGGCCAUGCAUUCUCUCCACCCUGUAAUUACUUGUCUAAAAAAUAACACCAUUCAAACCAUACAUUGUACAGAAAAUUAAAAGAGCAUUAAUUUUAA
Long non-coding RNA from Pezoporus occidentalis (night parrot), 2636 nucleotides. RefSeq lists it as uncharacterized. Lineage: Eukaryota; Metazoa; Chordata; Aves; Psittaciformes; Psittacidae. The record is from RefSeq and is a predicted model, not a curated record. The transcript has 2 exons.